This 75-nucleotide transfer RNA is filed under the name Candidatus Levyibacteriota bacterium. RNAcentral describes it as "tRNA-Asn". It matches the Rfam family "tRNA". Rfam says of the family: Transfer RNA (tRNA) molecules are approximately 80 nucleotides in length. Their secondary structure includes four short double-helical elements and three loops (D, anti-codon, and T loops). Lineage: Bacteria; Candidatus Levyibacteriota. The record is from RNAcentral.
UCCCCUGUAGCUCAAUGGUAGAGCAUUCGCCUGUUAAGCGAGUGGUUUCAGGUCCGAAUCCUGACGGGGGAGCCA